RNAcentral lists this non-coding RNA (46 nucleotides) under Schistosoma mattheei. Lineage: Eukaryota; Metazoa; Platyhelminthes; Trematoda; Strigeidida; Schistosomatidae. The record is from RNAcentral.
CAUCUACUGAGGAGUCCCACAAUAGGACGAGACGGCCGUCCAGUGC